This 714-nucleotide long non-coding RNA is filed under the name Rattus norvegicus (Norway rat). RNAcentral describes it as "long non-coding RNA NONRATT028640". Lineage: Eukaryota; Metazoa; Chordata; Mammalia; Rodentia; Muridae. The record is from RNAcentral.
CUCAUUUAUGGCCUGGGCUCUGUGGGCUGCCACAUCUCCAGCUAGUGGGAUGUGAGUCCUUGUCCCCAUUCUGUAGAAAUAGGAGCCUGAGAUUCAGAGAGGAGAGACCUGUGGGACUUAUUCAGAGGGGGUAGAGGUCGGACUAGUGAGCUGAGGCUUGGGAUGGCUCUGGGGCUCCUACCCCCGGCACUACAAUGGUGCCGAGGUCUGUCCAUCCCUUCCGCACCCCACCUUAUUUCUCCCUCCAGCUAACUCCCUGGGGUGCUUCUCUCAUUACAAGGUCUGUCCUGUAUUUUUUUUUUAGCUCUUCGGCCUCUGAAACACUCUGAAAACAAAGAAGAUGACGGACAAGAAAUAGCUUGACUGGAAGCUGCUGCCCUUCCCUGGUGGGGGGGCCCACCCUCUGGCUGUAUUGAGCCUCAAUGUGAGCCCUGCCCCCAAUGAAUGGGUUUUGUUCCACAGAUCUACCCAUUCUUUAGAGGACGUGGUUUACAGGCUACCCACAGCCUUAUUUUCCCAAUGGACUUAAUUCCCAUCAUCCUGAAGCCUCCUUUCUCCAGUGACACGAUACACGAACCAUCCUGCGGCCUUAUUUCUUACGGACUCGACACAAAGAGUUCUCCACCUCAGUGUCCCUCCAGAGUCAUCCGGUGGCCUUGUGAUACUACACGGACCUUCCUUCUGCCUUACUUUAAUAGAUAUACACAAACCAUC